GACGAACGCUGGCGGCGUGCUUAACACAUGCGAGUCGAACGGAAAGGCCCUGCUUUUGUGGGGUGCUCGAGUGGCGAACGGGUGAGUAAAACGUGAGUAACCUGCCCUUGACUUUGGGAUAACUUCAGGAAACUGGGGCUAAUACCGGAUAGGAGCUCCUGCUGCAUGGUGGGGGUUGGAAAGUUUCGGCGGUUGGGGAUGGACUAGCGGCUUAUCAGCUUGUUGGUGGGGUAGUGGCUUACCAAGGCUUUGACGGGUAGCCGGCCUGGGAGGGUGACCGGCCACCUUGGGACUGAGAGACGGCCCAGUCUCCUACGGGAGGCAGCGGUGGGGAAUAUUGCACAAUGGGCGGAAGCCUGAUGCAGCAACGCCGCGUUCGUGAUGACGUCCUUCGGGUUGUAAACCGCUUUCGCCUGUGACGAAGCGUGAGUGACGGUAAUGGGUAAAGAAGCACCGGCUAACUACGUG
This 468-nucleotide ribosomal RNA is filed under the name uncultured bacterium. RNAcentral's name for it is "partial 16S ribosomal RNA". It matches the Rfam family "Bacterial small subunit ribosomal RNA", at positions 28 to 507 of the family's 1533-position model. The record is from RNAcentral.